Molecule: non-coding RNA, 4149 nt
Organism: Salmo salar (Atlantic salmon)
Lineage: Eukaryota; Metazoa; Chordata; Actinopteri; Salmoniformes; Salmonidae
Source: RefSeq, a predicted model, not a curated record
GAAAUGAGUAGUUACUCUGUGCUGACUAUUUUGUUCUGAUACCAGAUUCGAAUUGACGUGACCCUAACACCCUAAAGAAAAUAUAUUUCUACAAAGCUGAAUCAGGAAAUGAAUGUCCACUCUUCAUUUCUAUUCAAUGCAGAUCCCGCUUUCAUUCCUAUUUGAUCAUUUUUUCACGAAAUAUAAAAGCACCACAUAGAUUUAAUCUAGUGUUUUAAGUAGUUGAACAUGUUAUUACUCCAACCGAGUGAAAGGGAGAAAAAUUACACUUUUUCAUUUUCAUAAAAAACAACUUUAUAUCGAAACGAAUGCCUUUUGAGUUGACGGCUUGCACAUGCGCAGUUCGGUGCGAGACAACCGGUAACCCGGAUAUGUUUCUACCCAUGAGGUCAGCCAGGCAACACCAUGGCAACGCCUUCAAGCGCUGUGGUCGAGGUUUUCUACUGGAGAAGCAGCUUCUGCCUGUCUUCAUACUGGACUUUCAUUGACUUUGUUUUAUAGAGGAGACGGCAUGCUAUUCGCACAAAAUUAUUAGUAUCAAGUACGGCUCUCCGGACAUCACUGGUUACAAGUUGACUACACAGAUCUAGCACACUGUUGCCAACUCCUCAGCAAAGGAAAGUAGCUAUUGGCUAUCCUUUUUUUGUUGAAAAUGUGUCGCUAGAUGGGGUGUGAAUACUCGCUAAAUAUAGCGACAAAAAUCGCUAAGUUGGCAACACUGAGAUUCUUAGCAUCAGCUUUAUCCAUCUCGAUAGACCAGACUGACCGGAAGCUGGACGGAAGUGGCCCGUCCACUGCGGAAAUGCUGCCAUGGUAACGCAGGUGACAAUAACAUGUCUGCAAAAGCGAAACAAAGCAACAAGUCAGCGGAUAAAAAUGCAAACGACAGAAAUGAUGCUGCGUCCAAAGAAAAUUAUGCUGAAAAAGCCAACCCUCAAUGGAAACUUAUUUCCCAUGAACAAAUCAACAUGCUGUUGGCUUUGACAGUGGAACAAGUGCAAUUCCAGUUUGAAGAAAUACUUGGUUUGAAGAACUACCAGACAUGUGUGAAGGAGGCAGCCCUGUUGGACUACUUUGUCUCUGGCUUCUGGUGGGCCAGGGAGAUGAACUACAGCUGUCAACAGAUCUCAUUCAUCAUGGCUCUACUGCAGUUGUUACUGGACAAUAUCAAGGAGAAGCAGAUGCCAUUUGGUGAUAACCUGAACGAGUUUGCCAAGUUGAUAUCAGGAACACGCCAGUCUCUUUCUCCAGAGGUUGACUCACUGUUUGAUGCUGAGCAGGCCAUGGCCAUCACUGACUACCUGAAGUGCAGUCUCUUUCAGAACUACCGACUAUAUGAGUUUCUCUUCAACCAACCUAGAGAGGGACUGCUCCUUGGAAAGAAGGUGAGGCUGUGUGUUCGCGUGCGUCAGUGUGUCCGUAUGUAUGUUGAGGUUUCCUUAAGGAAGCUAGUGAGUAACUUGGAAGGGCAGUGACCAUAAAGAGAGUCCUUUCCUGUCAUUGUCCCUAAGAAUUUAUUUAUCUGUCAUCUCUGACUAACUCACCAUCAGGGGACCAUUUAUCUGUCAUCUCUGACUAACUCACCAUCAGGAGACCAUUUAUCUGUCAUCUCUGACUAACUCACCAUCAGGAGACCAUGUAUCUGUCAUCUCUAACUAACUCACCAUCAGGAGACCAUUUAUCUGUCAUCUCUAACUAACUCACCAUCAGGGGACCAUUUAUCUGUCAUCUCUAACUCACCAUCAGGGGACCAUUUAUCUGUCAUCUCUGUCUAACUAACUCACCAUCAGGAGACCAUUUAUCUGUCAUCUCUAACUAACACACCAUCAGGAGAGCAUUUAUCUGUCAUCUCUAACUAACUCACCAUCAGGAGACCAUUUAUCUGUAAUCUCUAACUAACUCACCAUCAGGAGACCAUUUAUCUGUCAUCUCUGACUAACUCACCAUCAGGAGAAGUCAAACUAGUGGAAGCACCUUUCUGUAAAUGUACCGGCCCUAUACUGCAUGUACUGUGCUGAAACAAAGGUCAAUCACAACAGUUACAUUUUAGUCAUUUAGCAGACGCUCUUAUCCAGAGCGACUUACAGUAGUAAAUGCAUAGAUUUCUUUCCAUACUGGUCCCCCGUGGGAAUCGAACCCACAACCCUGGCGUUGCAAACACCAUGCUCUACCAACUGUGCCACACCGGACCAGUUCACUCUGUUCCUCUCACAGCAUUUAUCUAUCCUAUAAUAACAUCAGAUCUCAUUAUCACAGCAUGUAUGGAGCCUAUAAUAACAUCAGAUCUCAUUAUCACAGCAUGUAUGGAGCCUAUAAUAACAUCAGAUCUCAUUAUCACAACAUGUAUGGAGCCUAUAAUAACAUCAGAUCUCAUUAUCACAGCAUGUAUGGAGCCUAUAAUAACAUUCGAUAUCCUUAUCACAGCAUGUAUGGAGCCUAUGAUAACAUCAGAUCUCAUUAUCACAGCAUGUAUGGAGCCUAUGAUAACAUCAGAUCUCAUUAUCACAACAUGUAUGGAGCCUAUAAUAAUAUUCGAUAUCCUUAUCACAGCAUGUAUGGAGCCUAUGAUAACAUCAGAUCUCAUUAUCACAACAUGUAUGGAGCCUAUAAUAAUAUUCGAUAUCCUUAUCACAGCAUGUAUGGAGCCUAUGAUAACAUCAGAUCUCAUUAUCACAGCAUGUAUGGAGCCUAUAAUAACAUCAGAUCUCAUUAUCACAUGUAUGGAGCCUAUAAUAACAGUAUAUCUCAUUAUCACAGCAUGUAUGGAGCCUAUAAUAACAUUCAAUAUCAUUAUCACAGCAUGUAUGGAACCAAUAAUAACAUCAGAUCUCAUUAUCACAACAUGUAUGGAGCCUAUAAUAACAUUCGAUAUCAUUAUCACAGCAUGUAUGGAGCCUAUAAUAACAUCAGAUCUCAUUAUCACAGCAUGUAUGGAGCCUAUAAUAACAUCAGAUCUCAUUAUCACAGCAUGUAUGGAGCCUAUAAUAACAUCAGAUCUCAUUAUCACAGCAUGUAUGGAGCCUAUAAUAACAUCAGAUCUCAUUAUCACAUGUAUGGAGCCUAUAAUAACAGUAUAUCUCAUUAUCACAGCAUGUAUGGAACCUAUAAUAACAUCAGAUCUCAUUAUCACAACAUGUAUGGAGCCUAUAAUAACAUUCAAUAUCAUUAUCACAGCAUGUAUGGAGCCUAUAAUAACAUCAGAUCUCAUUAUCACAGCAUGUAUGGAGCCUAUAAUAACAUCAGAUCUCAUUAUCACAGCAUGUAUGGAGCCUAUAAUAACAUCAGAUCUCAUUAUCACAGCAUGUAUGGAGCCUAUAAUAACAUCAGAUCUCAUUAUCACAGCAUGUAUGGAGCCUAUAAUAACAUCAGAUCUCAUUAAAUAGAUUUGUUCAACCAGAGGUCUUUUCUAGGAGCUGCAGCGUUCCAGGAUGUGACAUAAUAAACAAACUCAUAAUUUCCAGACAGAGAGCUGUAGUACAGCGACUCCUCCCUGGUAGUUUGGUUGCCAUUAUGAGUCUGUUUGAUUUCCCAUUGAUAUCUUUACAAGCUCUGUUACCAGGUAAUAUGAUCCUUGUCUUAAUAUAUUCACAAAUGUGAAGGCAAACAUCCAACAUAUUCUACUGUGAGAUCAUGGGUGAGAUUACAACCUCUAUGUUUCCUGACUAACUGUAUUCCAGAGGACCAUAGAGGUGAUCAGCUCAGCAGACUUUGUAGCUCUGCUGGAAGAAGGCAUGAAUACUGAUGUCUACCUCCAUUACAUGACUCCUGUUGAACACCAUGAAGAGAUACUGUACUGUAGGACUACUGAUGUCUACCUCAUUACAUGACUCCUGUUGAACACCAUGAAGAGGGACAGAGGACCAGCCAGGUGGAGGAUGGAGAGGUACCAGGUGAAACAGUUCUGGAGCAAGAGAAGGAGAACAAGGCUACAGAGUUUGAAGAAUACAAUGUUCAGGAUGUGAAAGACGUGCUGGAUGACCUGACCAAAGAGAUGCUGAGAAACCUACAGGCUGAAUUCACAGAGAAGCUGAGAGUCCAGGAGGAGAUCUUCAGCACCAGACUAGAACCACUGAAACAUUCUGCCUGCAAAUAGCUACAAUAAACAAUACAGUCUAUAAUAUAUCCACAAUACACCACACAGUCUAUAAU